This 492-nucleotide ribosomal RNA is filed under the name uncultured bacterium. RNAcentral's name for it is "partial 16S ribosomal RNA". It matches the Rfam family "Bacterial small subunit ribosomal RNA", at positions 30 to 507 of the family's 1533-position model. The record is from RNAcentral.
AUUGAACGCUGGCGGCAUGCUUUACACAUGCAAGUCGAACGGUAACAGGCCUUCGGGUGCUGACGAGUGGCGAACGGGUGAGUAAUGCAUCGGAACGUGCCCAGAGGUGGGGGAUAACGCAGCGAAAGCUGUGCUAAUACCGCAUGUGAUCUGAGGAUGAAAGCGGGGGACCAGGCAGCAAUGUUUGGCCUCGCGCCUUUGGAGCGGCCGAUGUCAGAUUAGGUAGUUGGUGGGGUAAAGGCCUACCAAGCCGACGAUCUGUAGCUGGUCUGAGAGGACGACCAGCCACACUGGGACUGAGACACGGCCCAGAAUCCUACGGGAGGCAGCAGUGGGGAAUUUUGGACAAUGGGCGCAAGCCUGAUCCGGCAAUGCCGCGUGCGGGAAGAAGGCCUUCGGGUUGUAAACCGCUUUUGUACGGAACGAAAAGGCUCUGGCUAAUACCUGGGGCUGAUGACGGUACCGUAAGAAUAAGCACCGGCUAACUACGUG